Molecule: ribosomal RNA, 1416 nt
Filed under: Rondotia menciana
Lineage: Eukaryota; Metazoa; Arthropoda; Insecta; Lepidoptera; Bombycidae
Description: 16S ribosomal RNA
Source: RNAcentral
GGGGGAUAAUUAAUAAUUUAAUUAUUAAUAAAAGAAUUUUUAAUAUAAAUAUUUAAUGGGGGUUAAAGUAUUUAUAUAGAAAAAAUUGAAAAUUUUAUAGUUUAUUUGUAUUGUGGGGGGAUUUUGAAAUAAUAUGAAAAUAAAUUAUUUUAAAAGUAAAUUUUAUUUAUUGUAUCUUGUGUAUCAGAGUUUAUUAAAAAUAAUUUAUUAAAAAUAAAUUUCUCGAAUUUAAAAGAGUUAAUUAAUUAAUAAUAAGUUAUUGUAGUAUAAAUAUUUUUAAUAAUUAAUUUGAAAUGAAAUGUUAUUCGUUUUUAAAUAUAUCUAGUUUUUAUAGAAAAAAAUUUAAUUUUUUAUUAAUUAAAAUUUUUAUUUAUUUAUUUAUAAAAAUAAUUUUUAAUAAAAUAAUUUAAGGGAUAAUCUUUAAAUUAAAUUUUUAUAAUAAUUUAUAUUUAAAUUUAAAAAUUUUAUAAUUUAUAUUGUUAAUAAAUUUAAAUUUAUUAUAAAUAAUUUUAUUUAAAAAUAAAAUUUAAUUUUAUUUAAUUUUUUAUAUAAAAAUAAUUUUUAAUUAUUAAAAAUUAAUUAUAAUGAUAAAAUUAGUAAAAUAUUAUUAAAAUAUAUUUAAAAUAAAUUUAAUUAUUUAAAAGGAAUUCGGCAAAAAUUUAUAUUCACUUGUUUAUCAAAAACAUGUCUUUUUGAAAUUAAUUUAAAGUCUAAUCUGCCCACUGAUAAUUUAUUAAAGGGCUGCAGUAUUUUGACUGUACAAAGGUAGCAUAAUCAUUAGUCUUUUAAUUGAUGACUUGUAUGAAAGAUUGGAUGAAAUAUAUUCUGUCUCUUAAAUAUUUUAUUGAAUUUAAUUUUUUAAUUAAAAAGUUAAAAUUUAUUAAAAAGACGAGAAGACCCUAUAGAGUUUUAUAAUUUAUUUAUUAAAAUUUUUUUAUUAAGUUUUAUAUAAAUUAAAAUUAUUUUGUUGGGGUGAUAAAAAAAUUAAAUUAACUUUUUUUAAAAAAUUAACAUAAAUAAAUGAUUUUAUGAUCCAAUUUUAUUGAUUAUAAGAUAAAAUUACCUUAGGGAUAACAGCGUAAUUUUUUUUUUUAGUUCAAAUAAGAAAAAAAGUUUGCGACCUCGAUGUUGGAUUAAGAUAAAAAUUAAAUGUAGAAGUUUAAAUUUUUGAUCUGUUCGAUCAUUAAAAUCUUACAUGAUCUGAGUUCAAACCGGUGUAAGCCAGGUUGGUUUCUAUCUUUUAAAUUUAAAAAUAUUUUAGUACGAAAGGAUUAAAUAUUUCAAUUAUAUUGAUUAAUUUAAUAUAUAUAUAUAUAUAUAUAUAUAUAUAUAUAUAUAUAUAUAUAUAUAUAUAUAUUAUUUAAGAAUAUUAUUAAAUUUUAUUUAAAUUUUUAUUUUAAUUAAUUUAUAACUAAU